CUCAAAUUUAAAAUCUGGCAGUCUUUGGCUGUCCGAGUUGUAAUCUGGAGAAGUGUUUUCCGCGCUGGACCGUGUACAAGUCUCUUGGAAUAGAGCGUCAUAGAGGGUGAGAAUCCCGUCUUUGACACGGACUACCAGUGCUUUGUGAUACGCUCUCAAAGAGUCGAGUUGUUUGGGAAUGCAGCUCAAAAUGGGUGGUAAAUUCCAUCUAAAGCUAAAUAUUGGCGAGAGACCGAUAGCGAACAAGUACCGUGAGGGAAAGAUGAAAAGCACUUUGGAAAGAGAGUUAAACAGUACGUGAAAUUGCUGAAAGGGAAGCGUUUGAAGUCAGUCGCGUUGUUCAGAACUCAACCUGGUUCUACUUGGUGCACUUUCUGGACAACGGGCCAACAUCAGUUUUGACUGUCGGACAAAAGCCUUUGGAAUGUGGCACCUCCGGGUGUGUUAUAGCCUUUGGUUGUAUACGAUGGUUGGGACUGAGGACCGCAGCACGCCUUAUGGCCGGGGUUCGCCCACGUACGUGCUUAGGAUGUUGGCGUAAUGGCUUUAAACGACCCGUCUUGAAACACGGACCAAGGAGUCUAACAUGCCUGCGAGUGUUUGGGUGGAAAACCCGAGCGCGUAAUGAAAGUGAAAGUUGGGAUCCCUGUCGUGGGGAGCACCGACGCCCAUACCAGACCUUCUGUGACGGAUAUGCGGUUGAGCAUGUAUGUUGGGACCCGAAAGAUGGUGAACUAUGCCUGAAUAGGGUGAAGCCAGAGGAAACUCUGGUGGAAGCUCGUAGCGAUUCUGACGUGCAAAUCGAUCGUCAAUUUGGGUAUAGGGGCGAAAGACUAAUCGAACCAUCUAGUAGCUGGUUCCUGCCGA
Molecule: ribosomal RNA, 867 nt
Filed under: Scopuloides hydnoides
Lineage: Eukaryota; Fungi; Basidiomycota; Agaricomycetes; Polyporales; Meruliaceae
Description: partial large subunit ribosomal RNA
Rfam family: Eukaryotic large subunit ribosomal RNA
Source: RNAcentral